GACAGAGUGGCCGAGUGGUUAAGGCGUCAGACUUGAAGCGCUCUUUGAAACAGGAUCUCCGGAUCUGCCAGUAAAUGAGCCUAGAUAUCUGAUUCCCUAGGGAUCGCAGGUUCGAAUCCUGUCUCUGUCG
This 130-nucleotide transfer RNA is filed under the name Ilyonectria sp. MPI-CAGE-AT-0026. It matches the Rfam family "tRNA". Rfam says of the family: Transfer RNA (tRNA) molecules are approximately 80 nucleotides in length. Their secondary structure includes four short double-helical elements and three loops (D, anti-codon, and T loops). Lineage: Eukaryota; Fungi; Ascomycota; Sordariomycetes; Hypocreales; Nectriaceae. The record is from Rfam by way of RNAcentral.